UCAGGGUGGAGCCUGCUGGAGAACCAUGGUUGAGACCAGGAGGUCUGAGGAAGUAUUCCUGUCCACUCACCAUCCACAUGAACACAGUGAACAGAGACCUCAAACUGUCUGACAACAACAGGAAGGUGACACAUGUGAAGAAGCUUCAGACAUAUCCUGAUCAUCCAGACAGAUUUGAUAACUGGUGUCCUCAGCUGCUGUGUGAAAAUGUUCUGACUGGUCGCUGCUACUGGGAGGUCGAGUGGAGAGGAUGUGUUUUUAUAUCAGUGAGUUACAGAGAAAUCAGAAGGAGAGGAAACUUCAGAGACUGUUGGUUUGGAUUCAAUGAUCAGUCCUGGAGUCUGAGAUGUUCUGAUGAUGAAGGUUACUCUGUCUGGCACAAUAACAGA
Melanotaenia boesemani (Boeseman's rainbowfish) is the source of this 389-nucleotide long non-coding RNA. RefSeq lists it as uncharacterized. The record is from RefSeq and is a predicted model, not a curated record. NCBI's taxonomy places the organism in Eukaryota, Metazoa, Chordata, Actinopteri, Atheriniformes, Melanotaeniidae. The transcript is spliced from 2 exons.